UACGUAGGGACCAAGCGUUGUUCGGAUUUACUGGGCGUAAAGGGCGCGUAGGCGGCUUACCAAGUCACUUGUGAAAUCUCCGGGCUUAACUCGGAACGGCCAAGUGAAACUGUCAAGCUAGAGUGCAGAAGGGGCAAUCGGAAUUCUUGGUGUAGCGGUGAAAUGCGUAGAUAUCAAGAGGAACACCUGAGGUGAAGACGGGUUGCUGGGCUGACACUGACGCUGAGUGCGCGAAAGCCAGGGGAGCAAACGGG
This 254-nucleotide ribosomal RNA is filed under the name uncultured bacterium. Its description in RNAcentral is "partial 16S ribosomal RNA". It matches the Rfam family "Bacterial small subunit ribosomal RNA", at positions 524 to 776 of the family's 1533-position model. The record is from RNAcentral.